Triticum aestivum (bread wheat) is the source of this 4964-nucleotide long non-coding RNA. RefSeq lists it as uncharacterized. The transcript is spliced from 7 exons. Lineage: Eukaryota; Viridiplantae; Streptophyta; Magnoliopsida; Poales; Poaceae. The record is from RefSeq and is a predicted model, not a curated record.
ACCGCCCCCGCGGGGUACGCCCAAGUCUCCACGCCAUUCCCCAUUCUCCUGGUCGCCAGCUCCCCCUUUCCACCUCGUAGGUAGCUCCUCCCCUUCGUCCCCACAGCCGGCGCGAGGUCCGCACGCCCCUUCUCGUUGAUCCGGUCCCCGAAGUCCCCGAGGAGGCACUCGAGCUCGGCAUGCUCGCGAGCGACCCAGUGCAAGGGGCCAUCUGAGGCGGAAGCGGUGGCCCGGGAUUCGUCUCAUCCGCAUCGGCGGCCGCGGCCAUCCAGCGCUGGCGUUGCCCGAGCACGGAGCAGGCCCCAACUCCUCACCAGCUGGAGCGGUUCGGGUGCUCCGCUUUCACCGGCGAGCUGCCCCUGCCUGCCCCCAGAUGCGCGUCGGCCCGCGGAGGGGGAGGGGUCGAAGAAGCAAGCGCUAGUAGGGGAGGAGACGGAGAGGAGGCGGAAUGAGGUUCUAGAUGGUUCUGGCGGUGCGAAUCACCGCAGGCGUCGCGCCCAUUGUCGCCUUUGCCCGCUGCGAGAACUCCCGCUCCGCGCGCCAAUGGCAGCCGGGACCAAGGGAUAUUUGAAAUUGGCAAGGAAAAGAAAACUUCAGAUGUGAACACCUCUGUUAAGUAUUAUUUUUAUUUCACUAUUACUAAUGUGUCGCCUGAUAGCUCGAUCUCUUCCAUACAUACAUACAUGGUUAUUUCAGUCAUGUGAUGUAUUUGUCUCGUAAAGUCAGUGCCCGUCAAUACUUUCUUUCGCUAGUCAAGUUUUCAUCUGAUAGAUCUGAUAGAUAGAUGGAAACAUAAGUUUUCAUUCAUAAAUAGUAAGUAAUUUGUCUCUGAAUUUUGACAGUGCAGACUACUUCUUUUCAUACGUAUGCAGCUUUACCUCGCCUCAUAAUUUGAGUUUAUUUGUUUGACUGAUGCUAUUUGUAAAAUUCUAAUUGCGCUUACGGAUAAUGCCCCCUGAUUUUGCUUUCUGCCUAGACUAACUCUGUCUACAACCUCUUGCAUGUAUUUUUCCCCCAUGUUUAUCUAAAAUGGUUUUUGGCCCUUUAUUUUUAAAUAACCAAACAACUUUCUUAUACUUAUAAAUAGUACUGGAGCUCAUGGCCUUGCUUAAGAAAAACCAUCUAUAAUUGCUAAGUUUAUAAUAAUAGGUGAGCUACUGUGUCUCGGGCAUACAAUGCAAACUUGCAGACCAUAAGCUAGAUACGCAAUGAUUUUUUUCUUACUAUUACCAUGUUUUUUCAAUUUAUCAAGCUCCAGCCCAAAUAUCUGAUAGUAUUUGGCCUACAGUUAGUGUACUAAUUAAUUGGAUAUUUGAGUAGUAUUGUCAACAGUAAUAACUUUUACAUGUUUGCAUUACUUCCAAGAGUAACAGCAGGCGUUUAGGACACCUUUAGGAGAUCUACUAAUCUCUAAUCAUGCUACUCAAGGAUAGGAACCGUAGGCUUCUCUAUACAUUUUUUCACUGUCCUUUAUUGGUGGUUCUAUGAUGUAGUCCAAAUGAAACCAAUUGCAUGUAUUGAGAAAUAGAGUAUAGCUAGAUAAAGGUAAAACAGAACUUGACGUGGUUUUCCACUGACCUGAACAAUAAAAUAGACCACAUAUCUGGGAAGCAGAUUAAUAUGGGACAGCUUAUUAAGGGGCCCGAGCUUGUAUAGUAGUAUACGGGGCUGUAUUAGUGAUAGUAGAAAUGAUUUCCUCUAAUUUAGCAUUUGUACCAAGGCCGCCAGUAUUUUCACUGCAUUUCAGAAAUACAAACUACAAAUUUUGCAAUGGUGCCAAAAAUAAUUAUUUCAUGAGCUGCUUCCUAUUUUACCCAAUAUGAAAACAUAAGCUACAUGUUGCAACAUGAUGGAGAAGAGGCAACACAGGAACCUGUUUACCAUUUUUUUUGCCAAGGUCUUGUCUGUAAAUGGAGACAUCUAUAUUUGUUUCUGAAUGAUAUGCUUUAAUCACAUGCCUUCUUCUCUUCCUUAGGAAAAUCAGAGGUCUACCAAUUUAUGUAUAUAGUGGGUGGUUUUUUUGGUAACUUAACUUGAGCAACCUAAUUUUGAAACAUAAUUUGAGAGACAUAAAUACAAACACUGUUAAAAUCAAGGGCUUACCUGUGAGUUCAGAACCAGCAAUCAGUUGAUUGUUAACAGUCAAUAUGUAUGAUUAUUUUUCUAAAUGUUUUUCUUUUCCUUUCGUGUGAAGGUAUGCGAUGAUCGGCAUUCUGAGCUAAUCCCUUGUUUGGAUAGGAAUUUGAUUAUCAGAUAAGCUUGAAGAUGGAUUUAAAACUGAUGGAGCAUCAUGAGCAUCAUUGCCCUACUUAGGAGAGACGCUUUAAUUGCUUGAUUCCACCGCCACAUGGCUAUAAGCUCGCGUGCGGGUAUUCACGUGCUCCCUUGCAUUAUCACUCAAAACAACUCAUGUUGUCUGGUGCUCGGAUGUUGAAGUAGACACUGGACAUUCCCUCGCACUCGCAUCAAGCCCUACCUGAUUCCCCUCAUACGUAUGAUCAGAUUCUGUAGGAGUUGGAAGACAAAAGUACUGAUCCAACCAUGGAAGGGGUGGAAGGCUAUCCACAUCACUAUUCAACAUGCAACCAACCACCUCACUCGAGUCAUUAGCGCUUCCCUUGCAGUUGGAGGCUACAACGCUAUACUGCAUCGGUGUAGCCUCAUCCAAGCUCCUGUACAUGGCGAGAUAACUCCGCAACAUGGAGCGCCCUGUCGGAUGAAUCCCUCAUGGCACCCAUCACCGGCACGCCACCUUUGCUAUGGCCUGCGUGUCAGAUGCGUCUUUCCAACGCUGAAGCUUUGCCUCCAAUCUCUCGUAUACCCCACUGUCCAGCGUGUAUGGCUUUAUUCAUUUGCCUGUCUUCAACCAUGUCCUGCAAGGCAGACUCAUGGAUAUGGAUUUUCGGUAUUCCUGGAUGCAUGCAUGUUCACGGGGUGAUGCAGCUACCAGCAAUCCACGUCGUCCCUCUAUCGACACGCCCACUACUAGACACGGCCGCAUCUGUUUUGUGUUGUCACAUCAUCACUAGAACUUGAUGAUUGCACAAAUUGUUUGUGGGAACAAUGAAGCAUGCACCUUUAGUAUUACGGUUUUUUUACGAUGAAGCUAGGUGUUGUCGUCCUUCUUUCAAGAUCUGGUAGAAUGGUAGUAACAUAUAUAUCGUUAUGUGUCUUCUCUUCUAUGUUUUAAAUGUUUGUAAUUUGUACGAUGCAUUCAAUCGCUUUUGGCCCAAUGUGAGUUCAUUCACUCUUGCAUCUAUGCUUGGUAGAUUACGUGCAUAUUCAAUUGAUCUUUUGAAAGAAAUUUCAAUUCAUAUUUCAGUUUUUGCAGAAGGGGUCCAUAGGAAAAUAAACUAUCGCAAUCUUAUAAAAGGUCUGUCUUUUUCACAAGUUCCAUAUAUCUUUUCCAACCUCAUAUACUAUCAGUUAAGUAUUUUAGAUUAUCUUUUGGAGGAGGUGCGUCUUUUCCUUUCAGGAAAUGAUGUUGGUUCAAGACAUUCCUGCCUCCUGUUUGUUAUGUUUAUCUGUUCCAUGAUACCAAAUCAGGAAUCAACAAAUGUUUGGAUAAUCCAGAUGUUGGAAGCAAGAAUAAAGAAUUUAAAUUCACAAGAUGCAUGUGGUAUGUGUUUUCUGACCAGACAUAGAAUUGGUAUGGUAUGCUCAUUUUCUAUUUGCCUGAAUAUUUAUACACUUACUGACUUACACAUUGUAUAUGGGUAUCGGUAGAAAUCGAAUUGCAACGGUUUUAUUUUAUUUUCCUUAUAGAAAUCUAGAGAAAAAGACCAAAGAAGUAAAGUUGUUUUUUAACCUAUGUGACUGAUCAACAAACCUCUUAUAUCUCAAUGUAGGUGUAUCUAAAAUCUGACAAAAACAAUAUGGUAUAUACAACAGAUGUCAAAAAUAUAUUUUCUUAUUUGUUUACACACAAGCUCAUUCACGAAUGUCAUUCAUAGGUCUGUUCUCUGUAUUUGUUUUGCGUUUUCUCCUUACAAGUUACCACCUUCAGAGAUUUGUUGUGUGUCUAAUUUUACUAAACCUUUUUGUGCACGCGCGCACGCACGCACACACACACACAUAAGCUCUUAGUGAUUAAGUUUCUUGGGUCUCGGAGUACAAUUAAUCAGAUUAGUGUUGCAUUACCUCCCAUUUUGUGUUGUUGUGUCGGAUGCCGGUAUUGUCCUACUAAACAUAAUUUUAUGGUCAAAGUACACCUCAUUGUUUGUACCUAAUAGGUUGUCAAGAACAUAUCAUCUUUAGUACACCGUGACAAUCCUUCUUAAUAGGUUUCAAUAAUUAGCUUAUUUUGUUCAUGCAUAAAUCCCGCAGCAACGCGCGGAGUGUUAUCUAGUUGGUUACUAUAGUCCCGUCAAAAUAAUUACCAUAUGUGAAGAAUAUUUGAAAGACGGAGGGGGGGGGGGGGGGGUAUUUAAUUUGGAAGCGAGCUUAUUUGACGAUGGUUUUUUCUCCCAACCUGGCAAGGUUCAACUUGGUACUGAUUGCCAUACCUACACUGUUGGAUCCUAUGCCCAAUUUGCGACUGGAACAUAAAACAGUGAUGCAGAUUUUGUGAUAGAUCUGGAAAGGCCUUUCCCAAGGUAUGCAAACAUGUAUCAUUGUUUCAUUGGAAAUGGUAUAACAAUGGAAAUAAUAUGUGCGAACCAAUCUCUGCAACGAACAAUAGUGCAUAUAUUCACUGUUGUAUCAUAAUAGCACCCUUUCCAUUCUGGUGCGAUAAAUAUAGGUUCUUAGCAUGUUGUUACUUUCUGUCAUGGACACUUGUCUCUUUGUCAUAACGUGGAUACAGUGUGAUGCCUAUGGGAAGAAGUGGUGCUUUGAACAUGCGAUGGCUGUAUCAGGUACACUAAAUGCAGAAAAGUCUAGAAUAUUUGAACAUGCAAUGGCUGUAUGAUAUGUGUAUAAACUGAGUAUAAACUAUGUAUAAACUUCAAAUAAUACCUCAACGG